CUCUGUCCUCUUCUACGUCAGUGACAGUGAAAUCACGGCUGAGUGGCGCCACCGCCCGUGGGGCCCAUCACCGGUGCGCGCGCUCAAUAACGAGUGAGCGCGCCACCGUCGAGCGGCCUUUCGGCGGUGCGCACAAGGCCAGCGGUCGAGGCGCCAUUUCCUUAGUCGACUAGGGUCUCCGUCUCUCCGACUGCUAGUUUUCCUGCAUAUUCGAGAAAUAUAUGGAUCUUUUCUGCUCUUCAGGUCCUUCUCUUGGUUAUAGGCCUCCUAUAGUCCUAUCCAGGCCUUCCUGUAUCAAAUACCAAUCAUAGGUUGGAUUAUGCAGUACCGAUUCGAGAUUCAGAAAAGGAGAAAUUUCAAAAUUUUCGGUUUCUCAUCAUUCUGGUGUUGAACAUCUGAAGCAGCGAAUCUUGUGACGCCAUUUCAGGUGCCUGUCAUCGUUGACAAGUAGCAAAAGUGCAGGCUUGUUCAAUGCACCUAAUGAAAUCACUGCCAACUAGUAGAAAUUUUAUUUUUAAUCACAAACUAAUGUUUUAUGACAGCAUAUCCUCGGCUAUAAGUUUCUAUGAAUAAGUCAAGCGUCAAAGAUCACGGCAAAAAAAAAAAAAAAAA
Molecule: long non-coding RNA, 612 nt
Filed under: Zea mays
Lineage: Eukaryota; Viridiplantae; Streptophyta; Magnoliopsida; Poales; Poaceae
Description: uncharacterized LOC103627389 (LOC103627389)
Source: RNAcentral